UGCCAGCCGCCGCGGUAACACGUAAGUUGCAAGCGUUGUUCGGAUUCAUUGGGCGUAAAGGGCAUGUAGGCGGCAUGACAAGUCUGGUGUGAAAUAUCUCGGCUCAACCGAGAAAACGCACUGGAAACUGUCAAGCUUGAGUAUCGGAGGGGAAGCUAGAAUUCCUGGUGUAGGGGUGAAAUCUGUAGAUAUCAGGAAGAAUACCGGUGGCGAAGGCGAGCUUCUGGCCAGAUACUGACGCUGAGAUGCGAAAGCGUGGGGAGCGAACAGGAUUAGAUA
Molecule: ribosomal RNA, 279 nt
Filed under: uncultured bacterium
Lineage: Bacteria
Description: partial 16S ribosomal RNA
Rfam family: Bacterial small subunit ribosomal RNA
Source: RNAcentral